Molecule: ribosomal RNA, 497 nt
Filed under: uncultured bacterium
Lineage: Bacteria
Description: partial 16S ribosomal RNA
Rfam family: Bacterial small subunit ribosomal RNA
Source: RNAcentral
GACGAACGCUGGCGGCGUGCCUAAUACAUGCAAGUUGAGCGCUGAAGGUUGGUACUUGUACCGACUGGAUGAGCAGCGAACGGGUGAGUAACGCGUGGGGAAUCUGCCUUUGAGCGGGGGACAACAUUUGGAAACGAAUGCUAAUACCGCAUAAAAACUUUAAACACAAGUUUUAAGUUUGAAAGAUGCAAUUGCAUCACUCAAAGAUGAUCCCGCGUUGUAUUAGCUAGUUGGUGAGGUAAAGGCUCACCAAGGCGAUGAUACAUAGCCGACCUGAGAGGGUGAUCGGCCACAUUGGGACUGAGACACGGCCCAAACCCCUACGGGAGGCAGCAGUAGGGAAUCUUCGGCAAUGGACGAAAGUCUGAACGAGCAACGCCGCGUGAGUGAAGAAGGUUUUCGGAUCGUAAAACUCUGUUGGUAGAGAAGAACGUUGGUGAGAGUGGAAAGCUCAUCAAGUGACGGUAACUACCCAGAAAGGGACGGCUAACUACGUG